GCCUCAAGUAAUGUGU
Molecule: ribosomal RNA, 16 nt
Filed under: Anopheles christyi
Lineage: Eukaryota; Metazoa; Arthropoda; Insecta; Diptera; Culicidae
Description: partial 28S ribosomal RNA
Source: RNAcentral